RNAcentral lists this ribosomal RNA (513 nucleotides) under Colletotrichum nymphaeae. RNAcentral describes it as "eukaryotic LSU rRNA". The stretch from base 166 to 319 matches the Rfam family "5.8S ribosomal RNA". The record is from RNAcentral. Lineage: Eukaryota; Fungi; Ascomycota; Sordariomycetes; Glomerellales; Glomerellaceae.
UACCCUUUGUGAACAUACCUAACCGUUGCUUCGGCGGGCAGGGGAAGCCUCUCGCGGGCCUCCCCUCCCGGCGCCGGCCCCCACCACGGGGACGGGGCGCCCGCCGGAGGAAACCAAACUCUAUUUACACGACGUCUCUUCUGAGUGGCACAAGCAAAUAAUUAAAACUUUUAACAACGGAUCUCUUGGUUCUGGCAUCGAUGAAGAACGCAGCGAAAUGCGAUAAGUAAUGUGAAUUGCAGAAUUCAGUGAAUCAUCGAAUCUUUGAACGCACAUUGCGCUCGCCAGCAUUCUGGCGAGCAUGCCUGUUCGAGCGUCAUUUCAACCCUCAAGCACCGCUUGGUUUUGGGGCCCCACGGCACACGUGGGCCCUUAAAGGUAGUGGCGGACCCUCCCGGAGCCUCCUUUGCGUAGUAACUAACGUCUCGCACUGGGAUUCGGAGGGACUCUUGCCGUAAAACCCCCAAAUUUUUUACAGGUUGACCUCGGAUCAGGUAGGAAUACCCGCUGAAC